This is a long non-coding RNA of Patiria miniata (bat star), 273 nucleotides long. RefSeq lists it as uncharacterized. The transcript is spliced from 2 exons. The record is from RefSeq and is a predicted model, not a curated record. NCBI's taxonomy places the organism in Eukaryota, Metazoa, Echinodermata, Asteroidea, Valvatida, Asterinidae.
CCUUGGCCCCCCCCCCCCCCCCACCACCACCUUGGCUAAGCCACUGCCCUGAAUGGAACGUCGACCGAUGGGAUAUCGCACCAACGGGACAUCAGACCAUGCAAUGAGACGUCAAACUAGAGACGUUCCCGAAACAACUGAGAGGUCAUACUUUAAGUUUUGGAUGUGAAAAUUCUGCCGAAGUGCCAGAACUACAGAAGCAAUGUCAACUUCCUCGUCUGUCGCAAUAUCGAUGAGGGUAUUCCCCGUCAUCAUCAUCAUGUCGUCAUAUGC